GAACAGUUAGAAAUCAGGCUGCAGAAAUGUGAGGGGUGGGAACAAAUAGAAAUCAGUCUGCCCAAUUGUAGUUCUCUGCAGGUCACUAGUUUUCCGGCAGUUCAGCUGCACAUGAAUAGAACAGCAAUGAGAGCCAGUCAGAAGGACUUUGAAAAUGCAGUGAAUCAAGUGAAACUCUUGAAAAAGGAUCCAGGAAACGAAGUGAAGCUAAAACUCUACGCGCUGUAUAAGCAGGCCACUGAAGGACCUUGUAACAUGCCCAAACCGGGUAUAUUUGACUUGAUCAACAAGGCCAAAUGGGAUGCAUGGAAUGCCCUUGGCAGCCUGCCCAAGGAAGCUGCCAGGCAGAACUAUGUGGAUUUGGUGUCCAGUUUGAGUCCUUCAUUGGAAUCCUCUAGUCAGGUGGAGCCUGGAACAGACAGGAAAUCAACUGGGUUUGAAACUCUGGUGGUGACCUCCGAAGAUGGCAUCACAAAGAUCAUGUUCAACCGGCCCACAAAGAAAAAUGCCAUAAACACUGAGAUGUAUCAUGAAAUUAUGCAUGCACUUAAAGCCGCCAGCAAGGAUGACUCAAUCAUCACUGUUUUAACAGGAAAUGGUGACUAUUACAGUAGUGGGAAUGAUCUGACUAACUUCACUGAUAUUCCCCCUGGUGGAGUAGAGGAGAAAGCUAAAAAUAAUGCCGUUUUACUGAGGUAAGAGUAACUGACCUUUGUCUGAUCCCAGAGGGCCCGUUCUUAGUCAUCAAAGUGGUACUUAGUGAGCAAAAGUGCAAUAUCUACUUCUCUGUGUCAGUGCAGUUAAUUGUGACUUUGGACAAGCAUAUUUCUCUAAACUGCCUCCAUCCAUAGGUGGGCAUUCAUUCUUUCUCUUUGACCUCUGUUACCUGUUCAUCCUGCUGGUCUCAUGAGAUUGGACUGGAAAACAUAAAAGUGAGCUAUAGUCGUAAACAAAAUUAUCUUGCAUUGAGGCAGAGGAAUUUAGCCAAUUCUCAUCCAGCCAGAGGAAUGGGAGAUUUCCAUGAAUGCUGAAAGUAGGAGACUUGGAGGAGUCUUGUAAAACACAGGAGGAGGUCAUGAAGGCUUUCCUCUUUAUUUCUGCCAAAUCUGUAAUUCCCACUUGCUGUGAUAUUGCAGCAUGUGCUCAGUCACCCAACCUAAUCUCUAAGACUGCGGCUGGUUUACAGCCCUGAACUCACUGUCCAGAAUACAAGAUUCAAACCAGAGUUGACCCGUAGGUCUCACUGGUUGGUCUUCCAUCCACUGCCAUUCAGACAGAUGCCCUGGAUGAAUCUGGUGCAGAAGACCAGGGAAGUGACAGGACAGGGAGGCACUGCUGGUGGUGGCUGUGGAAAUACCCAGCCUAACAGAAGGCUUUAUCUCAGAGUCAGACUGUCUUGCCCAUGCUUCAGUCAUGCUGCUUUGGCACAUUUAAUGAUUUUGUGUUUCCAUUUCUGUAGGGAAUUUGUGGACUGUUUUAUAGAUUUUCCUAAGCCUCUGAUUGCAGUGGUUAAUGGUCCCGCUGUGGGCAUCUCCGUCACCCUCCUUGGGCUAUUCGAUGCCGUGUAUGCAUGUGACAGGGCAACAUUUCAUACACCAUUUAGUCACCUAGGCCAAAGUCCGGAAGGAUGCUCCUCUUACACUUUUCCGAAGAUAAUGAGCCCAGCCAAGGUAACUUUUGGAAUGUUUAAAAAUAAAAUUUUAUGAGUCAUCUCAAGAAAGAAGGAAGAGUAAUCUCAUAUACUCUGCCUUCUUUCCCUUGGUAAUAUGGACAAAAGAGAAGCUAAUUAUUUGCUCUUCAACUCUAAGAGUUUUACCAGUGGAGGAAUCAGGCUAUGGGAAGUAUCUGCUACGCAGGAAAAUUAGAAAUUCUCUCUGCAACUCCCAGAACUGGGAUCCUCCUCUUCAGCUGGCUGCUUAGUGCUAGCUGCAUUGCAAGCACCUCAGCCUUGCAGCUGUGUGGCAUCAGUCACUUGAAGGACCAGGGCUGUGCCAGCCUCCCUUGGUCCCCUGAGUUUGGAGGCCACUCGGUUCCUUUAUGGAUGACCAGUAUCUCCUAAGGAGAGACAUGAUGAUGUCUUCACUUUCAGAGUUACAGUAAGUACCAACAGAUGGGAGGUUUUGUGGGGGCUCACGGCUGCCAGAGCCACCCCCAAUCACAGCAGCCCUUCCAUCAGCCUGCUCAUGGGUGUAUUCUCUCCCAGGCUGGUGAAGUGGCUGCUCAGGUCUUUCACUGUGUUUCCUAGUUGCCCAUGCCCUGUGGCAUGACCCGAAGGGGAUUGUGACAAGACUAGAAGCUGAGUUAUAGGAAAAGGCUUAGCAAAUAUUGCUGCAAGAUCUCAAAGUGGGGCAGUGGGAAUUGAGCCUGUUUUCAUUGCCUAUUAGGAUUUUGUUAAAAACUUAUAUAUGUAUGUUUUUACUCUCAUUAGGCUAUCGCAUACCCUGAAUUGAACUUGGGAAGGGGACAGAACUGACUCUACAAGUCUUAGAGCAUUUGGCUAUUAGAAUAUUCCUUGGCUGGGUGCAGUGGCUCACACCUGUAAUCCCAGCACUUUGGGAGGCCAAGGCUGGUGGAUCACUUGAGAUCAGGAGUUCAAGACCAGCCGGGCCAACAUAGUGAAACCCUGUCUCUACUAAAAAUACAAAAAUUACCCGGGGCAUGGUGGCGGGCACCUGUAAUCCCAGCUACUUGAGAGGCUGAGGCAGGAGAAUCAUUUGAACCCAGGAGGCGGAGGUUACACUGAGCCAAGAUCGUGCCUCUGCACUCCAGCCUGGGCAACACAGUGAGACUCUGUCUCAAAAAAAAGAAGAGCAUUCCUUUUCUGGAAAAGAAAUUGCAGAUGUAGAGAGGAUAUCCACUUAAUGUUCUCAGUUUUUUCGGAAGCUAACUAAACUAUAAGUCUUUGCUUUUCUUUAGUCAAAUAGAACUAAUUUGAGUACCAAUGCAGGUAAAGAAAACUCUCAGAGCCAGAUCACUGGGUAGAGUUUCCAGAGAAUGGAAUUUUGAAAGUUUCUAAAGGUUGACCCAAUGACCGUGAUUUUUCUCUCCUUUUUUCCUCUUUAAAAUAAUAGUUUAUAGUGUAUAAAAUGGAAAAUCAUAGCUGCUGUGGGUUAUAGAAUCAAGCGUCUGCUUCAGAUCAUUUCUGCCCUGGACCCCCUGAUCUUGCCCCUCCAACAAUGACACACAGAAGCAGCAGCCCUUACAGACCUUCCCAGGAGCCUGUCUCAGCACACAGUUUGCAAACCAUUGCCUAUUGAGGUCAUCAGCUUCUCCCUUACUGAGAAAUACCAGCAACCUCAAAAGACCAUGAGUAAAUCUCUCUAAGCCUCCUGAAAGCAGUUAACUGAAGCCUUGUUUUAUUAAGUUAGUAUCUUAACCUUGCUUCUUGCUUUUCAUUUCAGGCAACAGAGAUGCUUAUUUUUGGAAAGAAGUUAACAGCGGGAGAGGCAUGUGCUCAAGGACUUGUUACUGAAGUUUUCCCUGAUAGCACUUUUCAGAAAGAAGUCUGGACCAGGCUGAAGGCAUUUGCAAAGCUUCCCCCAAAUGCUGUGAGAAUUUCAAAAGAGGUAAUCAGGAAGAGAGAGAGAGAAAAACUACACGCUGUUAAUGCUGAAGAAUGCAGUGUCCUUCAGGGAAGAUGGCUAUCAGAUGAAUGCACGAAUGCUGUGGUGAACUUCUUAUCCAGAAAAUCAAAACUGUGAUGACCGCUACAGCAGAGUAAAGCACGUCCAAGGAAGGAUGUGCUGUUACCUCUGAUUUCCAGUACUGGAACUAAAUAAGCUUCAUUGUGCCUUUUGUAGUGCUAGAAUAUCAAUUACAAUGAUGAUAUUUCACUACAGCCCUGAUGAAUAAAAAGUUUUGUAAAAC
RNAcentral lists this small RNA (3867 nucleotides) under Pongo abelii (Sumatran orangutan). RNAcentral's name for it is "retained intron". The record is from RNAcentral. Lineage: Eukaryota; Metazoa; Chordata; Mammalia; Primates; Hominidae.